UAACUCUGGUUAACAAGGUUACAUACUGAAGAUACCAACAUCAGCAUCAGCAUCAGUCUCUUUUACAUCUGCAGCAACAACAGCAGGGAAUCCAGGCUGAAAAGAGCAGUAAACUGCCAAAAAGAAAAUGCCAUCUAAAUCCUGCUGGCAUGAGCAGCUCUCUAAAAUCUUCUUCAUUGUCCAUGGAAUGGUCGAGAGUACAACCAUGGCGUGUGUCUGGACGGUUACACGUGGCUCGCACUGGCUCAUGUGUCAUACGAAGAAAACUCAGGCUUGGUUCACUAAUACAGAAAGGGACAGAACACCUUGUUAGAUGAGCAGUUCACAUUUAUUCAUAAUUAACCCUUUCCAAUUAAUUAUAGGACAAUUCUUAAGUAUCCCAGACAGAUUUUUAUCCAUUUUCUUAAAUAAUUUCUUUAAACUAACUAAAACUCUACACGCUGUUGCGCACUUGUAGGCACGGACAAGAGUAAAAAAGGUUCACAAUUUUAUCUUUGCUGCUGCACAACAGGACCCAAAGCUCCUCGUGAUGCAUAGAGAGGAAGAACCCUGAUUGUUCGUUACACUGAGAUUUUAUGAGUAUGAUUCAAACACAGAAACUUAAAGAAAGAAAGUUAAAGAAAGAAUCGUCAAUUACUGGCUACAUUACAACAUUUGAUCACCUGAAACCAAAAUUAUCCCAAACCCAUUGAUUACUUAAAGAAAGAAAUUCUGCUGUUUUAUUGUCUUUGUUGUUGUACUUGAAAAAAAGGGAUUCUAUAAGUUUUUUAAAAAAUAAUUAAAUAAAUAACAAUUGCAAAUUAAAAAUUAAAAAAUUCCUAGUUAAAAAAUAGUUUAUUUUUAUAUUAUGGAAGGCAGAAAGGUAGGUCAAGGUGUAUGAUCCUGUGGAAACCAUUUCCUUUUCCAAUUUACCUGACGGCUGCCCAGACUGAGGUGCUCAAAUUUAAAUUAUUCAGAAAAAAAGCCUCACUUUUACUUUACUGGACAAAAGACACCUGGAUGCAGAAGAUUUCUUUCUACAAAAUGCUGCUGUAAUCGUCAUCAACACAACCAUUACUUCAGCACAUUUAGUCCAUUACUCUUUUCCAUCUGUAAUUAAAUCUAAUUGCAUUAUUUGGUGUCACCCACAAGAUGGGUUCCUUUUUGAGUCUGGUUCCUCUCAAGGUUUCUCCCUUAUGUCAUCUCAGGGAGUUUUUCCUUGCCACCGUCGCCACAGGCUUGCUCACUAAGGACUUCAAUCUAUAUCCAGUUUUCUGUAACAAACAUUUAUUGAAAGGAAACGAACUGUAUGAAUAAAUUUUAUCUGAA
Tachysurus vachellii is the source of this 1308-nucleotide long non-coding RNA. RefSeq lists it as uncharacterized. The record is from RefSeq and is a predicted model, not a curated record. The transcript has 2 exons. NCBI's taxonomy places the organism in Eukaryota, Metazoa, Chordata, Actinopteri, Siluriformes, Bagridae.